RNAcentral lists this long non-coding RNA (275 nucleotides) under Bos indicus x Bos taurus (hybrid cattle). RNAcentral's name for it is "lncRNA (ENSBIXG00005020769.1)". The record is from RNAcentral. Lineage: Eukaryota; Metazoa; Chordata; Mammalia; Artiodactyla; Bovidae.
CUGAGGGGAGCUGGGAAUCCAAUAAAGAAAAACGAGGAGGUGGCCGUCAGUGUGGUGGUGAAGAAUCCAGGAGGCAUCUAUGAAACAGACCUCGGGGGAGCCCAGCUCCAACUGCCACAGCGAGAACAACCAUCACAGGGAGUGCGGGUCUGCUGUGUGCCAAAGCUCAACUGCUGCUGGGGCCUGGCCAUCUCCCAGGAAGGCAGCAUGGACCCUCACCACGGGUAAGGUGCCCACUCUUCACACUGAAGAGUGUUCUUUUAAAAUUUACUUUA